AGCGAACGUUAGCGGCGGGCCUAACACAUGCAAGUCGAACGAGAAAACCUUCGGGUGAGUAAAGUGGCGCACGGGUGAGGAACGCGUAGGUAAUCUACCCUCUGGCGGGGGACAACACUCCGAAAGGAAUGCUAAUACCGCGUAAGACCACAUGUACUACGGUGCGAGUGGUAAAAGGUGCCCAAAGCACCACCAGAGGAUGAGCCUGCGUCCCAUCAGCUUGUUGGUGAGGUAAAAGCUUACCAAGGCGAAGACGGGUAGCUGGUCUGAGAGGAUGAUCAGCCACACUGGCACUGGAACACGGGCCAGACUCCUACGGGAGGCAGCAGUGAGGAAUAUUGGGCAAUGGGCGAAAGCCUGACCCAGCCACGCCGCGUGUGUGAUGAAGGCCUUCGGGCUAAAGCACUGUGGGAGGGACAAAACAGCGCAUCAGGAAAUGGGUGCGCCUUGACGGUACCUCCUUAGCAAGCACCGGCUAACUCUGUGCCAGCA
Molecule: ribosomal RNA, 492 nt
Filed under: uncultured bacterium
Lineage: Bacteria
Description: bacterial SSU rRNA
Rfam family: Bacterial small subunit ribosomal RNA
Source: RNAcentral